This 347-nucleotide ribosomal RNA is filed under the name Stenomantis novaeguineae. RNAcentral's name for it is "partial 16S ribosomal RNA". Lineage: Eukaryota; Metazoa; Arthropoda; Insecta; Mantodea; Liturgusidae. The record is from RNAcentral.
GGCCGCAGUAUUUUGACUGUGCAAAGGUAGCAUAAUCAUUAGUCUUUUAAUUGAAGGCUGGUAUGAAUGGUUGGACGAGGUAAAUAACUAUCUUAUAAUAAUUUUAUUUGAAUUUGGGAGUUAAGUAAAAAUACUUAAAUAUUAUUAAGGGACGAGAAGACCCUAUAGAGUUUAAUAUAUUAAAUAUUAAUUGGGUUAAUAAUAUAAUUUUUGAUUAAUAUGUCAUAUAUUUGGUUGGGGUGAUUAAAAGAUAAAAAUAACUCUUUUUUUAUAUUAAUAAUAUAAUUAAAUUAGGRAUCCAUAUUUAGUGAAUGAAAGAUUAAAUUACCUUAGGGAUAACAGCAUAA